This 460-nucleotide ribosomal RNA is filed under the name uncultured bacterium. Its description in RNAcentral is "partial 16S ribosomal RNA". It matches the Rfam family "Bacterial small subunit ribosomal RNA", at positions 338 to 795 of the family's 1533-position model. The record is from RNAcentral.
CCUACGGGAGGCAGCAGUGAGGAAUAUUGGUCAAUGGGCGCGAGCCUGAACCAGCCAAGUAGCGUGAAGGAUGACUGCCCUACGGGUUGUAAACUUCUUUUAUAAAGGAAUAAAGUGAGGCACGUGUGCCUUUUUGUAUGUACUUUAUGAAUAAGGAUCGGCUAACUCCGUGCCAGCAGCCGCGGUAAUACGGAGGAUCCGAGCGUUAUCCGGAUUUAUUGGGUUUAAAGGGAGCGUAGAUGGGUUGUUAAGUCAGUUGUGAAAGUUUGCGGCUCAACCGUAAAAGUGCAAUUGAUACUGGCUGUCUUGAGUACAGGUGAGGUAGGCGGAAUUCGUGGUGUAGCGGUGAAAUGCUUAGAUAUCACGAAGAACUCCGAUUGCGAAGGCAGCUUACUAAACUGCCACUGACAGUGAGGCUCGAAAGUGUGGGUAUCAAACAGGAUUAGAUACCCGAGUAGUC